UCAUUUACAAGUAACUUUACCAGUGAGUAUGAACAUGAUUUUUAACUGUUUUUAAAACCUAAAGCUUUUUAUCCAUUGAAUGUUCUUUAGAAUAAGGAGACAAAAUUGGCAUUAUGCCAAUGCCUCUAGGAAAAUAAAUACCUAAUUUUAAGUUGAAUUUUGCAUUCUGUUGCUUUUGUUGGAACACUGAAUUGUGUUAACUAAUUUGAAGUGUCAGCAUCAUAUCCUUGUCCAAGUACUCUUAUCCAAUAUCGGUAACGUAGGGUAAAGUAAAGAGUUGAAGAAGUUUAAAAAAUAAGUUGAAGAAGUUAUGAAUUUUAAGCUUAUUUUCAACUUAAUUGAACUUCGUUAUUGCUAAUGAUUGAAUCUUUUUGCCAGAGACAUUUAAAUAUCCUGAGACAUUUUAUAUAAAUAAAUCCUGAGAUAUUUCAAAUAACAAAGGUGGACUAUUUGCUGCACAUUGGACAUUUGAACUGUGAUUAGGGCUAAUUUUUCUUCAUGAUCAUGCAAUGAAAUCAGGGAAACUUGAUUUAGACUAAUUUUUACUGUAAAUUAUCUGAGAAAAUUGAAGAAACAUUGCUGAGUUAGGUUAGCAUUUGAUAGCCAUGAAUUGUAAUGUUUUGUCUCCUUCUUCUAUUAUAUUUUCUUUUCCAAGUUUUUGGUUUCCAUCAUUUUUAAGGCUGGAAGUUGCAAGCAUUAUUAUUUUCUGCCAUGUAAAAUAGUUAUUAUUAUUUUUUUAUACUUCCUAUUUACUUACACUUUGUUUCUCCAGGUAUACUUGUAUGGUGGUCAAG
RNAcentral lists this unclassified non-coding RNA (794 nucleotides) under Hevea brasiliensis (rubber tree). The record is from RNAcentral. Lineage: Eukaryota; Viridiplantae; Streptophyta; Magnoliopsida; Malpighiales; Euphorbiaceae.